Molecule: ribosomal RNA, 354 nt
Filed under: Pseudomonas sp. CS11RP1
Lineage: Bacteria; Pseudomonadati; Pseudomonadota; Gammaproteobacteria; Pseudomonadales; Pseudomonadaceae
Description: bacterial SSU rRNA
Rfam family: Bacterial small subunit ribosomal RNA
Source: RNAcentral
GGGGGCCUCUCUUUCCGUAUGGGGCUUAAGGAGAUGCCGGGCAAACCGGAGGAAGGUGGGGAGACGUCAAGUCAUCAUGGCCCUUACGGCCUGGGUACACACGUGCUACAAUGGUCGGUACAAAGGGUUGCCAAGCCGCGAGGUGGAGCUAAUCCCAUAAAACCGAUCGUAGUCCGGAUCGCAGUCUGCAACUCGACUGCGUGAAGUCGGAAUCGCUAGUAAUCGUGAAUCAGGAUGUCACGGUGAAUACGUUCCCGGGCCUUGUACACACCGCCCGUCACACCAUGGGAUGAUUGCACCAGAAGUAGCUAUUCUAACCUUGUUAGGACGGUACCACGGUUGAUUCAUGACUGU